UGGGGAAUAUUGCACAAUGGAGGGAACCCUGAUGCAGCGAUGCCGCGUGAGUGAUGAAGGAAUUCGUUUUGUAAAACUCUGUUCUAUGGGAAGAACAGGACUGCACUAUAUGAGAAAGCUCCGGCUAAUUACGUGCCAGCAGCCGCGGUAAUACGUAUGGAGCGAGCGUUGUUCGGAAUUAUUGGGCGUAAAGGGUGCGCAGGCGGCUUUACAAGUUGGAUGUGAAAUAUUGUGGCUCAACCACAAACGUGCAUCCAAAACUGCAAAGCUUGAGUUAAGGAGAGGUAAGUGGAAUUCCUGGUGUAGCGGUGGAAUGCGUAGAUAUCAGGAGGAAUACCGGUGGCGAAGGCGACUUACUGGACUUAAACUGACGCUCAGGCACGAAAGCGUGGGGAGCGAACAGG
RNAcentral lists this ribosomal RNA (404 nucleotides) under Fusobacteriota bacterium. Its description in RNAcentral is "Fusobacteria bacterium partial 16S ribosomal RNA". It matches the Rfam family "Bacterial small subunit ribosomal RNA", at positions 355 to 776 of the family's 1533-position model. The record is from RNAcentral. Lineage: Bacteria; Fusobacteriati; Fusobacteriota.